UCUGCUGUAUGAAAUAGGUGGUGUUUC
This 27-nucleotide non-coding RNA is filed under the name Homo sapiens (human). Lineage: Eukaryota; Metazoa; Chordata; Mammalia; Primates; Hominidae. The record is from RNAcentral.